Molecule: long non-coding RNA, 860 nt
Organism: Thamnophis elegans (Western terrestrial garter snake)
Lineage: Eukaryota; Metazoa; Chordata; Lepidosauria; Squamata; Natricidae
Exons: 5
Source: RefSeq, a predicted model, not a curated record
AGCCGCAGAAAAAGCCAGGCUGGGAUGGUGGCAGUGGAGAUGCCCUGGCUCCGUAAUGAGAGCUGGGCCAUGCCUCGUGAGGUUUGAAGCGGGUUAUGAACAUUGCAUUCUGUGUGUAAUCCAUUAAGUGAGGAAAAAAAAGAACAAGCGGACCUCUACCCUUCUUUCCUUUAACUGGUAAAAUCAGGAGCUGCUUCUAGAAUCAGACUGAAGGCAUAGGAUUCUAUUGAAAGCUGGAAUUUCCCAAAUCAGGAAUCAACAAGUACCUGUCAUUUGGCACUGUGCCCGGGAAGCUCAAAACAAGGCUUUUGAUAAGCUGUGGGAAAGACCAAUAAAAGAAAUAUUUCUAGAUAGUUGUUGGUGAUGAUGACUUCUCUUCACAAUAACCAUUCUGUGAGGUGGGCUAACCAGAGAGAUGGCAAUCAGAAACACGUGAAACCAUGCUUGCUGUUUGGUUUGGAUGAAAAAGUGGAGGCUGCUGGGAAAUAGGCUUUUGCAGUAAGAACGUGACCUGAGAUGUGGAUGGCAUGGAUAUUUGUGGUAUGAUGAAGUCAAAGUUAAAGAAGAUUUUAAGAAAUCAUUAUGUUCCACAUAAUUUAUGAAGAAUAUGGAAGUGAUACAAAUCCAGCUUGUGCCUGAAAACUCCUUUAUGGCUCUCAGCCAAAGAAGCAUUUUAUAGAUGAUAAAUACUAGGCAAACACAAAUGGCUAAUUUAUCAUGAGAUACUAGAAUUCUGUCACGCGCAAUACAAAAUUAAAUCAAGAGGGGAACUGGUGACAGAAGGGCAAAGUUGCCAACACUGAACGUUAUGCUCAUAUCAAUUUUGUAAUAUACUAUUCUUUGGCCUGUAGUGUCCCAGU